Non-coding RNA from Zootermopsis nevadensis, 1695 nucleotides. NCBI's taxonomy places the organism in Eukaryota, Metazoa, Arthropoda, Insecta, Blattodea, Termopsidae. The record is from RefSeq and is a predicted model, not a curated record.
AGUCAUUAUUUUCCUUGCACGUAACCUUGCAAAGUCAGCGUCUACAUAAGCAACGUUAUCGUCGACUCCGGAAUACUGAACGGCUCGCGGAAACAUGGAAUAGAUGGGACUGCAGUAAUACUGUCAUACAUCAACUCAACCCACGAAGGAAGUUUCUUGUGUCGAUCUUAGGAAGUAGCAGAUAAUUGAAAUCACGUGUAUAGGAAGUUGUUUCAGCACGUGACUUGUUAAACGCUAAUGAAGAAAUGAAAGGAUAAAAAGGUACUUGAACAAUGAGGCUUGAUGUCGACGUGGCAGACAUCAGCUUAUUGCUGUGGCCUUCCGGAGGAUGGGAGAUUUUGCAGCAGGCGAACGUGACUUUCAUUAGUUAAGGCAUUGUGUACCUGCUCGUAUACUGGAAUGUAACGGAACUCGAUUGCUGGGUGCGGCUUGGUGCAUUCGGCAUUUGCUCUCGUCCACCUGGUUUGCAGUCUAGCCUCAACUCCGUAUUUUGCCGUGGAAUGUGGAUGCAGUAUGUGGUGAAUGUAUACAAGUUUUAUCAUUCUGAAGUUUCGAUGCACGCAGAAGUGAGUGCGUGCAUCGGUCAACGUUUUGACUCCAAAGCUACUUCUUGAAUUUCAUCCAAAUAUGAUGUUGGUAGAAUCGUAAUUAAAGUUGAAUUUUUCGUUGUUCUCAAGAAUGGCUCAUUAGUCAAAUAUUUUGUUCGUGACAUAAAAUUGUAGGUCUCAUUAAGAUCUGUAUUUGAUACUUUUUCUGGUCUCUUGAAUAUUUAAGUCUGUCCUUUGUCUCCACGAAAUGGCACGUCCUCAAGUUGCGGAUGGAGGUGGAAGCCUUCAGAUAUGGAGGAUGACUGCAUGUAUAUUGAAUAAGCAGCCGCAGACAGCCGACAAGGGGUAGCCCUCCAACUUUUGGGUUGGGUGGGCGUUUAAACAACUCCCACCUUAAAAAAGAUGUGUUACGAAAUGUUGCACAAGGCCUGGGAAUCGAGGAGAUGGCCGAGGUAUGUAGCGCGCGUGAUGUGAUGAGAAAUGUGUACAAAAUUUUCAGUAGAAAUCUUGAAAGACACCAUUCGGAAGAAAUCAAUGGAGAUAAGGGAUAAUAUUAAAAUGGUUUUUAGGGGAAAUAGAUUUUGGGCGUGUGGAUUUGAUUUGUCUGGCGCAAGAUAGGGACCGGUGGCAGUCUCUUGUGAACAGUGUGAUGAUCUUUCGGGUUUUAUGAAAGGCGCGGAGUGUCUUCUGGUUUUGUACUGUGUGCUCUCUGCGGUACUCAUAGUUUCGCUGCCGUUUUUCUCUUCUAUAAAUGAACAUCGCUGGUGAGGUAUGCAAAUUCGCUACGAACGCAUUUAGAAUGGGAUCCACGUUUCACUCCGGUCUUCCUUGGGAAGUACGACACACCACAAGGACGUAGGGACAAGCCAACGGCCUCUGAAAUGGUUGUGGUGGCGUUGGCGAAGAGGAUGAGAAUUGAAAAUGACGGUGAUGAGUUAAUGAAAUGUUUUAUUCUUUUAUUUACCGAGUAGUCAGAACUCUUUAACAGAACACGAUCAACGAACGUUUGUCACGACUGUCAAGGGCUCCCCAAAGAGACUUCUGCCGCUUAGCUGACAUUGCUUCUGUACAAAGUCCCGUACUGCAAACAUGAAAUCGGGCAGAAACAUGAUUCUUAAUAUGAGCUGUUUCGGCAGGUGUCCAUUAA